RNAcentral lists this ribosomal RNA (274 nucleotides) under uncultured bacterium. RNAcentral's name for it is "partial 16S ribosomal RNA". It matches the Rfam family "Bacterial small subunit ribosomal RNA", at positions 523 to 796 of the family's 1533-position model. The record is from RNAcentral.
AUACGGAGGGUGCGAGCGUUAAUCGGAAUUACUGGGCGUAAAGGGUGCGUAGGCGGCUUGAUAAGUCGGAUGUGAAAGCCCCGGGCUUAACCUGGGAAUUGCAUUCGAUACUGUCAGGCUAGAGUAUGUCAGAGGUUGGCGGAAUUCCUGGUGUAGCGGUGAAAUGCGUAGAUAUCAGGAGGAACACCAGUGGCGAAGGCGGCUAACUGGGACAAUACUGACGCUGAGGCACGAAAGCGUGGGGAGCAAACAGGAUUAGAUACCCUAGUAGUCC